GACGAACGCUGGCGGCGUGCCUAACACAUGCAAGUCGAACGAGGCCACUCCUUCGGGAGUGAGUCGAGUGGCGGACGGGUGAGUAACACGUGAGCAAUCUACCCUGGUACGGGGGAUAACCCGGGGAAACCCGGGCUAAUACCGCAUGGGCAAGAGAUCCGAGUGGGUCUUUUGGGAAACGUGGCCUCUUAGCAAUGCUACGGUGCCGGGAGGAGCUCGCGGGCUAUCAGCUAGUUGGUGAGGUAACGGCUCACCAAGGCGGCGACGGCUACGGGGUCUGAGAGGACGACCCCGCACAUUGGAACUGAGACACGGUCCAGACUCCUACGGGAGGCAGCAGUGGGGAAUUUUGGGCAAUGGCCGAAAGGCUGACCCAGCGACGCCGCGUGCGGGAGGAAGCCUUUCGGGGUGUAAACCGCUGUCAGGGGGGACGAAAGCGGAGGCGGUUAAUCAUCGCCUCCAGUGACGGUACCCUCAAAGGAAGCACCGGCUAACUCUGUGCCAGCAGCCGCGGUAAGACAGAGGGUGCG
RNAcentral lists this ribosomal RNA (530 nucleotides) under uncultured bacterium. Its description in RNAcentral is "bacterial SSU rRNA". It matches the Rfam family "Bacterial small subunit ribosomal RNA", at positions 28 to 536 of the family's 1533-position model. The record is from RNAcentral.